Long non-coding RNA from Ictidomys tridecemlineatus (thirteen-lined ground squirrel), 881 nucleotides. RefSeq lists it as uncharacterized. Lineage: Eukaryota; Metazoa; Chordata; Mammalia; Rodentia; Sciuridae. The record is from RefSeq and is a predicted model, not a curated record.
UCCUACCUACAGCACAGGGACAGGAACCUGUGCGUGGGAGCCAGGCAGAGCUGACCCCUCCUGCUGACCAGCUGUGUGCUCUCCUGGGUUCCUGAAACCCACACCAGCAGUGGACACAGUAGGGUGCUGACGUGCAAAUCAGGAGGCCCCAUGGGCUCCCCUCUUAGCCCUGCCUCUCUCAUUUCUGAACUGGGGGCUGCGGGAGCACCUCCCCAUGGGCUCUGUGUGGAGUAAGAAAGCUCUCUUAGGACCAAACCGACUCAACCAGUGCCAGAAGAGUUAAUAUGAACUAGGAGUCUUCCUAAGCAGCAAUCCCAUCAGAAAAGUCCUUGAGUGGAAGAACAGCUGGACUCAGGGAUUCUACGUGUCAGCAUCCGACUCCUUGCUAGAUGCGAACAACCCAGCCAUGAAGCUCUAGGGGCUGCAGCCGUCCUGGAAGAAUGCCCGAUACACUGCUUAAUAAACACACGUUCGGCCUUCUGCAAAGAAAACACCCGAUUCUCUGAGCUACACCUGCAGAACCUCGGGCCUUUCUGCACCUGCCCAGCUCUGCAGAGUAGACGGCAGUUCCUGGCAGCUUACCAGGGCCACCGGAAGGGCUGGCUAAAACCCAGAUGGAAUUUCUGCCCCAGCAGCUCUGGUGGGAAGAAGGACUGGCUCUGCUGUUGAUCCCAGGGUCACAGUGAACCUGCUCCUUGCUCGGCCACUCUGGGUGGAGCAGCUCUGGACUGUGGCAUCACGGGCCGGGAUGGAGCUGCUCACAGCACUGCGCUAAUGUUCAGGGGGCGGGGUGGUAGGCUGACUGUUUCUUAUUGAACAAAAUAUUUCUAAGCCCCGGAUUUCUUCAACUGAAACAUGAAUGAAAUUACUCCAACAAUCAA